CUGCUAUCACAUAAGUCCUGUUUUAAGUAGCCCUAGUGCCUUGAUACAGCAGUUACUCAUUUCUAUACUAAAGUCAAAGUGGAUACACAUGUGACACGGGUGCUGUCACUUUCCCAGCCAAUUUUCGAAGCAGACAUGACUAAGUGAUCACAGCACUCUAUCUGGGCCUCACAAGCCAUCACAACAGGAUUCCAGGUGGCCCCAAAGAAAUUAACUGGAGUUGGCACACAAAAGAAAAGUUAUUGGUCAUCAAUGUUCUAGAAUGGCAUCUACUUACAGGAAAGUACUGUGUCCUUUCCAUGGUUGGAAUCACAGUAUUUGCUCUGUGUUUGACACAAGGAGCCAGUGGGGCUCUACGGAUGUAGGAGGAGAGGCCCUGCUUCCUGGUGCCUGCUGGGAGAACUUUCUUCAAAGACACUACCUCCUGAAAAGAGAACUCAAUUUAUCAAAAGGAAAUUCAAGUGGAGUGAAGACUACCAGGUUCAUGUACGAAGUCAGCAUUAUCCUAAUUCCAAAAUAAGAUAAAGACACUACAAAAAAAGAAAAUUAUAGGCCAAUAUCCCUGAUGAAAAUAGAUGCUAAAAUCCUCAACAAAAUAUUUGCAAAUCAGAUCCAGCAGCACAUUAAGAAGAUCAUACACCACGAUCAAGUGGGAUUUGUUCCUGGGAUGCAAGGUUGGCACAAUAUCCGCAAAUGAAUAAAUGCGAUACAGCACAUAAACAGAAUGAAGAAUAAGUAUCACAUGAUCUUAUCAAUCGAUGCAGAAAAGGCAGCUGAUAAAAUCCAACACCCAUUUAUAAUUUAAAAAAACAAACGAACCUCUCAGCCAAGUGGGAUCAUACCUCAACAUAAUAAAGGCCAUAUAUGACAAACCUACUGCCAACAGCAUACUCAACGGGUCAAAACUGAAAGUAUUUCUCUUAAGACUGGGAACAAGACAAAGAUGUCUGUCUGCUUUCACCACUCUUAUUCAACAUAGUACUGGACUUCCUAACCACAGCAAUCAGAAAUAAAAUUUAUUUAUA
Long non-coding RNA from Eptesicus fuscus (big brown bat), 1025 nucleotides. RefSeq lists it as uncharacterized. Lineage: Eukaryota; Metazoa; Chordata; Mammalia; Chiroptera; Vespertilionidae. The transcript has 3 exons. The record is from RefSeq and is a predicted model, not a curated record.